This 934-nucleotide ribosomal RNA is filed under the name Salmonella enterica. RNAcentral's name for it is "bacterial LSU rRNA". It matches the Rfam family "Bacterial large subunit ribosomal RNA", at positions 1271 to 2188 of the family's 2925-position model. Lineage: Bacteria; Pseudomonadati; Pseudomonadota; Gammaproteobacteria; Enterobacterales; Enterobacteriaceae. The record is from RNAcentral.
UGCUGGAGGUAUCAGAAGUGCGAAUGCUGACAUAAGUAACGAUAAAGCGGGUGAAAAGCCCGCUCGCCGGAAGACCAAGGGUUCCUGUCCAACGUUAAUCGGGGCAGGGUGAGUCGACCCCUAAGGCGAGGCCGAAAGGCGUAGUCGAUGGGAAACGGGUUAAUAUUCCCGUACUUGGUGUUACUGCGAAGGGGGGACGGAGAAGGCUAUGUUGGCCGGGCGACGGUUGUCCCGGUUUAAGCGUGUAGGUGUGUGUUCCAGGUAAAUCCGGUUCACUUUAACACUGAGGCGUGACGACGAGGCACUACGGUGCUGAAGCAACAAAUGCCCUGCUUCCAGGAAAAGCCUCUAAGCAUCAGGUAACAUCAAAUCGUACCCCAAACCGACACAGGUGGUCAGGUAGAGAAUACCAAGGCGCUUGAGAGAACUCGGGUGAAGGAACUAGGCAAAAUGGUGCCGUAACUUCGGGAGAAGGCACGCUGACACGUAGGUGAAGUGAUUUACUCAUGGAGCUGAAGUCAGUCGAAGAUACCAGCUGGCUGCAACUGUUUAUUAAAAACACAGCACUGUGCAAACACGAAAGUGGACGUAUACGGUGUGACGCCUGCCCGGUGCCGGAAGGUUAAUUGAUGGGGUCAGCGCAAGCGAAGCUCCUGAUCGAAGCCCCGGUAAACGGCGGCCGUAACUAUAACGGUCCUAAGGUAGCGAAAUUCCUUGUCGGGUAAGUUCCGACCUGCACGAAUGGCGUAAUGAUGGCCAGGCUGUCUCCACCCGAGACUCAGUGAAAUUGAACUCGCUGUGAAGAUGCAGUGUACCCGCGGCAAGACGGAAAGACCCCGUGAACCUUUACUAUAGCUUGACACUGAACAUUGAGCCUUGAUGUGUAGGAUAGGUGGGAGGCUUUGAAGUGUGGACGCCAGUCUGCAUGGAGCCG